Molecule: ribosomal RNA, 465 nt
Filed under: Vreelandella stevensii
Lineage: Bacteria; Pseudomonadati; Pseudomonadota; Gammaproteobacteria; Oceanospirillales; Halomonadaceae
Description: partial 16S ribosomal RNA
Rfam family: Bacterial small subunit ribosomal RNA
Source: RNAcentral
CCUACGGGUGGCAGCAGUGGGGAAUAUUGGACAAUGGGCGAAAGCCUGAUCCAGCCAUGCCGCGUGUGUGAAGAAGGCCUUCGGGUUGUAAAGCACUUUCAGUGGGGAAGAAAGCCUUGGGGCUAAUACCCUCGAGGAAGGACAUCACCCACAGAAGAAGCACCGGCUAACUCCGUGCCAGCAGCCGCGGUAAUACGGAGGGUGCGAGCGUUAAUCGGAAUUACUGGGCGUAAAGCGCGCGUAGGCGGUCUGAUAAGCCGGUUGUGAAAGCCCCGGGCUCAACCUGGGAACGGCAUCCGGAACUGUCAGGCUAGAGUGCAGGAGAGGAAGGUAGAAUUCCCGGUGUAGCGGUGAAAUGCGUAGAGAUCGGGAGGAAUACCAGUGGCGAAGGCGGCCUUCUGGACUGACACUGACGCUGAGGUGCGAUAGCGUGGGUAGCAAACAGGAUUAGAUACCCUGGUAGUC